AUGCGUGUUGUAAAGGCCCAAGGGCCUCUUCCAUCCUUGUCAAGGGGAGUGCUAACCUUCUCUCCUUUCAUACAACACAAAUUUGUAGCAAAUAUGCUGUCUGUAGCAGGUGCAGAUCACAUCAUCACCAUGGAUCUACAUGCUUCUCAGAUUCAGGGCUUUUUUGAUAUUUCAGUUGAUAAUUUAUAUGCUGAGCCAGCUGUCCUAAAGUGGAUAAAAGAGAAUAUUUCUGAGUGGAAGAACUGCACUAUUGUCUCACCCGAUGCUGGUGGAGCCAAGAGAGUGACCUCCAUCGCAGACCGGUUGAACGUGGACUUUGCCUUGAUUCACAAAGAACGGAAGAAAGCCAAUGAAGCGGACCGCAUGGUGCUCGUGGGGACGUGAAGGAUCGAGUGGCUAUCCUCGUGGAUGACAUGGCUGACACUUGUGGCACAAUCUGCCAUGCAGCUGACAAACUUCUCUCCGCUGGAGCCACCAGAGUAUAUGCUAUCUUAACCCAUGGGAUCUUUUCUGGCCCAGCCAUUUCUCGCAUUAACAACGCAUGCUUUGAAGCAGUAGUAGUGACGAAUACCAUACCUCAAGAGGAUAAGAUGAAGCAUUGCUCCAAAGUACAGGUGAUUGACAUCUCCAUGAUCCUUGCAGAAGCCAUCAGGAGAACUCACAAUCGAGAAUCUGUGUCUUAUCUGUUCAGCCAUGUCCCUUUGUAA
Molecule: RNA transcript, 707 nt
Organism: Elephantulus edwardii (Cape elephant shrew)
Lineage: Eukaryota; Metazoa; Chordata; Mammalia; Macroscelidea; Macroscelididae
Gene name: phosphoribosyl pyrophosphate synthetase 1 pseudogene
Exons: 1
Source: RefSeq, a predicted model, not a curated record